AAGGCUUUAAGUUAAUUAAACUAGUGACCUUCAAAGUCCCCUAUAAGAGAACUGCUCUUAAACCUUA
Molecule: transfer RNA, 67 nt
Filed under: Glyphocrangon regalis
Lineage: Eukaryota; Metazoa; Arthropoda; Malacostraca; Decapoda; Glyphocrangonidae
Description: tRNA-Trp
Source: RNAcentral